CAGGUAUGGUGACAUCUAUGUAAUCUUUUGCUAUGAUGGUGACUACAAUAUAUAUUCAAAAUAACAAUAACGGUAAGUCCUGUAAAAUCAUAAUUGUUCAUAAUGGUCAUGAAAGUCUUAACAAAUCUGUUAAAUAACUUUAUUUAUUAAAAGAAUAGCUAUAAAACAUAAUUAUGUAUAAUACUUAUUCAUUUAUAACUUGUUAAAUUGUUAAAUAAUGAAUAACUUAAUGUUAAAAUUAUUUUUUUAUUGUUGAUGUGAUGUAUAUUGUGUAAGAUGAAUAAUGCUAAUAAAAUAAAUCAAAUAAUA
Molecule: long non-coding RNA, 309 nt
Organism: Melitaea cinxia (Glanville fritillary)
Lineage: Eukaryota; Metazoa; Arthropoda; Insecta; Lepidoptera; Nymphalidae
Exons: 2
Source: RefSeq, a predicted model, not a curated record